This 468-nucleotide ribosomal RNA is filed under the name uncultured bacterium. RNAcentral's name for it is "partial 16S ribosomal RNA". It matches the Rfam family "Bacterial small subunit ribosomal RNA", at positions 28 to 507 of the family's 1533-position model. The record is from RNAcentral.
GACGAACGCUGGCGGUGUGCUUAACACAUGCAAGUCGAACGGAAAGGCCCUGCUUUUGUGGGGUGCUCGAGUGGUGAACGGGUGAGUAACACGUGAGUAACCUGCCCUUGACUUUGGGAUAACUUCAGGAAACUGGGGCUAAUACCGGAUAGGAGCUCCUGCUGCAUGGUGGGGGUUGGAAAGUUUCGGCGGUUGGGGAUGGACUCGCGGCUUAUCAGCUUGUUGGUGGGGUAGUUGCUUACCAAGGCUUUGACGGGUAGCCGGCAUGAGAGGGUGACCGGCCACAGUGGGACUGAGAUACGGCCCAGACUCCUACGGGCGGCAGCAGUCGGGAAUAUUGCACAAUGGGCGGAAGCCUGAUGCAGCAACGCCGCGUGCGGGAUGACGGCCUUCGGGUUGUAAACCGCUUUCGCCUGUGACGAAGCGUGAGUGACGGUAAUGGGUAAAGAAGCACCGGCUAACUACGUG